Non-coding RNA from Cavia porcellus (domestic guinea pig), 74 nucleotides. The record is from Rfam. NCBI's taxonomy places the organism in Eukaryota, Metazoa, Chordata, Mammalia, Rodentia, Caviidae.
GGGGAUUUAGCUCAGCGGCAUAAGCAUCUGCCUUGCAAGCACGUAGUCGUGAGUUCGAUCCCCAGUACCCCCCA